This 510-nucleotide ribosomal RNA is filed under the name Pharaxonotha floridana. RNAcentral's name for it is "partial 16S ribosomal RNA". The stretch from base 383 to 510 matches the Rfam family "Bacterial large subunit ribosomal RNA", at positions 2473 to 2600 of the family's 2925-position model. Lineage: Eukaryota; Metazoa; Arthropoda; Insecta; Coleoptera; Erotylidae. The record is from RNAcentral.
GUCUUAUUGAGUAUAAUUUUAAGUCUAACCUGCCCACUGAUUAAUAUUAAAUGGCCGCGGUAUUUUGACCGUGCAAAGGUAGCAUAAUCAUUAGUUUUUUAAUUGAAAGCUGGAAUGAAAGGUUGAAUGAAAAAAUUACUGUCUCUAUUUAAAAGUUAGAAUUUUAUUUUUAAGUUAAAAAGCUUAAAUUAAAUUAAAAGACGAGAAGACCCUAUAGAGUUUUAUAUUAAUUUUUAAAUAAUUUUUUAGAAUUAAUAAUUUAUUUAUAUGUUAAUAUUAAAUUGGGGUGAUUGAAAAAUUUAAUAAACUUUUUUUUUAUUUUUACAUUUAUUUAUGAAAAAUUGAUCCAUUAUUUAUGAUUAUAAGAUUAAAUUACCUUAGGGAUAACAGCGUAAUUUUUUUUAAGAGUUCUUAUCGAAAAAAAAGUUUGCGACCUCGAUGUUGGAUUAAAAUUAAUUUUUGGUGUAGAAGCUAAGAAUUUUAGGUCUGUUCGACCUUUAAAAUUUUACA